UCUAACCUAAGAGUUUGAUCCUGGCUCAGAACGAACGCUGGCGGCAUGCCUAACACAUGCAAGUCGAACGCUAUUUAUAGAGUGGCGCACGGGUGAGUAACGCGUGGGAACCUGCCUUUUUCUGCGGGAUAACGGUUGGAAACGAUCGCUAAUACCGCAUACGCCCUUCGGGGGAAAGGUCCGCCGGAGAAAGAGGGGCCCGCGUCUGAUUAGCUAGUUGGUAGGGUAAUGGCUUACCAAGGCGACGAUCAGUAGCUGGUCUGAGAGGAUGAUCAGCCACACUGGGACUGAGACACGGCCCAGACUCCUACGGGAGGCAGCAGUGGGGAAUUUUCC
RNAcentral lists this ribosomal RNA (336 nucleotides) under Puniceispirillum sp. (SeqCode). RNAcentral describes it as "bacterial SSU rRNA". It matches the Rfam family "Bacterial small subunit ribosomal RNA", at positions 1 to 367 of the family's 1533-position model. The record is from RNAcentral. Lineage: Bacteria; Pseudomonadati; Pseudomonadota; Alphaproteobacteria; Puniceispirillales (SeqCode); Puniceispirillaceae (SeqCode).